UAGGGUAGUGAUGGAAUUGGUAGACAUGAGUAGUUUAGGACUAUUUGAUUUUAAUAUCUUAUCCGUUCAAGUCGGAUUUACCUUAA
RNAcentral lists this transfer RNA (86 nucleotides) under Cladonia leporina. Its description in RNAcentral is "tRNA-Leu". Lineage: Eukaryota; Fungi; Ascomycota; Lecanoromycetes; Lecanorales; Cladoniaceae. RNAcentral also lists the same sequence under 1 other name. The record is from RNAcentral.